Molecule: non-coding RNA, 1314 nt
Organism: Oryctolagus cuniculus (rabbit)
Lineage: Eukaryota; Metazoa; Chordata; Mammalia; Lagomorpha; Leporidae
Source: RefSeq, a predicted model, not a curated record
CCGAAGGGAUCGGACCGCGGAUCCCCACGCGUCGCUUUUGGGACUGGGAGUGUCCGGGGUUCUCCGGGCGGCAGCCCCGGGGAAAGUGACGUAAAAUCGGGGAUUCCCCGAUGCCGGAGGGCCCAAAUACUCGCCGGCCGUGUGUGGCAGCCCAGCCCCCUGUACUAACACCGGAGCGCCCGUCUGAACUGGGAUUCUGCAGCCUCCCUGCUGAAUGCCAGCGAGGAGGCUUCAACAGGGGAGCAACCGAUACAGCAGGGAUAUAACCUCGUGUGCGUCCCGCCAGCUCUGGCGCCCGUCAGGAAUCCCAGCAGUGCAGAGACGGACUGGCGCCCAGCAUUUACAUCCAGGCGGCACUGCCACCUCCCCCGGGCCGGCACAGUCUAAGGUAGAAGCAGGCUCAGAGGGGUUGGCACUCGGCCUGGAAUCAGACUUCAGGGCAGGCACCGACUUCCCUAAAGCACACCGCCUCCGCCCCACUGCAACAGCCAGUCAGGUUCAGACCUCCGUGGCGUGGGCGAGUGGGCGCCGCAUUUUAGGUUUCACUCCUGCAGCUGAGCCCUGGACCUUUGGUUCUACUUCAACCGAGCCUCCCUUGACCCAGCUGAGCUCCCAGCUCCCAGCACGGCUCCACAACUGGCCACAGAAGCCCGAGAACAAGGCGGCCUGUGAGGAGCCUGCAGCCGCAGCCAGCUACAGAACGUCCAUGGACAGAGCAGCUCUGGCUUGCCUGGGGGGUGGGAGGGCGGGGACUGGCAGGCAGAGCCGAGGGUGGCUUGCCCGGGGCAGUGCUGGGCAGGGUUUAGCAGGAGGCCCAGCACUGUCUGCCAAAAGCCUACUCCCUCCGUCCACUCUGAUGGCAGAAGCCCAAAGGCCUGCUUCCCACAGGGAAAGAAAGGGUGACUGUGAACAGGAUGGAUGUGGACCUGCGUGCAGAAGCUCUUCAUUCUAGAACAACACAGAAAAUGCGGAGAGGGCCCACAGGCCAGUCCCAAGGGUGAUUAACGACACUUGGGAAAUCCGAUGAUUACCAACACCAACAAGACAUCAAGCUGCACCAUGACUGUAAAUCAGAAAUAGUUUGAGAUGAAGCACAUGUGUGUUAAUGUUUUGUUAUAUUUUCAUUAAACUGGAAUCGAUUACAAGUAACACCUUUUCCUGACUUGGCUUUUCUCUGGUCUCCCAGAUGUGUGUCCUCAGCACUGCUGGACACAGCAAGGACCAGUGCUGUACCCAUUUUCUGGAUGAGUAUACUCAAGUAGGACAGACAAACUAAACAAAGGGAGAAAACCAGAGUGUGGACUCAGAUACACG